This 253-nucleotide ribosomal RNA is filed under the name uncultured bacterium. Its description in RNAcentral is "partial 16S ribosomal RNA". It matches the Rfam family "Bacterial small subunit ribosomal RNA", at positions 524 to 776 of the family's 1533-position model. The record is from RNAcentral.
GACGGAGGAUGCAAGCGUUAUCCGGAAUUAUUGGGCGUAAAGGGUGCGUAGGUGGUCAGACAAGUCCCAUGUCAAAGCAUGGUGCUUAACGCCAUAAAGGCGUGGGAAACUGUGUGACUAGAGUACAGCAGGGGCAGAAGGAAUUCCCGGUGUAGCGGUGAAAUGCGUAGAUAUCGGGAAGAACACCAGUGGCGCAAGCGUUCUGCUGGGCUGUAACUGACACUGAGGCACGAAAGCUAGGGGAGCGAAAGGG